Molecule: ribosomal RNA, 1992 nt
Filed under: Acrotylus cryptographicus
Lineage: Eukaryota; Rhodophyta; Florideophyceae; Gigartinales; Acrotylaceae
Description: Acrotylus cryptographica partial 28S ribosomal RNA
Rfam family: Eukaryotic large subunit ribosomal RNA
Source: RNAcentral
GCGGAGGAAAAGAAACUAACAAGGAUUCCCCUAGUAGCGGCGAGCGAAGCGGGAAAAGCCCAAGAUGAAAAGCCUGCUUGCAGGCGUUGUAUUUGAGCGUUCUCGGGGUGUCAGUGUGGGUAAGUUGCAUGAAAAUGCACGCCGUGGAGGGUGAUAGCCCCGUCCAACCUACACAGGACACGCCGUACGAGAUCGUUUCAGGCGAGUCGGGUAGCUUGGGAAUGCUGCUCUAAUUGGUGGUAAAUCUCAUCAAAGGCUAAAUAACGGCUGGAGACCGAUAGCGAACAAGUACCGUGAGGGAAAGAUGAAAAGCACUUUGAAAAGAGGGUGAAAAGAACCUGAAACCGUCACGGGGGAAGCGGAUUGCGUUGGCUUGGUGGGUGCUUGUGUUUUCAGCCCUUUUGGGUGCAUUGACACUUGUGCUUAUUCGUCGUGGGUUUUUGGGGGUCGAUUUUGGAUCCCUGGAGGCUGAGGGCUCCCUUCGGGUGAGGACGGCGGAGUGACGACGCGAUACGACCCGUCUUGAAACACGGACCAAGGAGUCUAGCGCGGGUGCGAGUCGGAGGGUGCAAGCCCGUGGGCGUAGUGAAAGCGAGUUUAAAAACGAGCAGUUUGGGGCGGCAUAAGAUCGUUGAUCUUAAGACCGACCCGGAGCAGUUGCGCUGGGACCCGAAAGAUGGUGAACUAUGCCGGAGUAGGGCAAAGCCAGAGGAAACUCUGGUGGAGGCUCGUAGCGGUGCUGACGUGCAAAUCGCUCGUCCAACUUGGGUAUAGGGGCGAAAGACUAAUCGAACCAUCUAGUAGCUGGUUCCCUCCGAAGUUUCUCUCAGGAUAGCGGGCCGACAAGUUGUUUUGUGCGGUAAAGCGAAUGAUUAGCGUAUUUGGGGACAAUUAGUCUUCGGGCGAUUCUCAAACUUUAAAUGCGCAAGGGUGUCGCUGCUUUGUUGAGCGGCACCGGUAAAAACGUCGGCCCUGUGGGCCACUUUUGGUAAGCAGAACUGGCGAUACGGGAUGAACCGUAAGCAUGGUUAAGGCGCCAGACUGCCCGCUUAUAGAUCCCACAAAAGGUGUUGAUUCAUCGAGACAGCAGGACGGUGGCCAUGGAAGUCGGAAUCCGCCAAGGAGUGUGUAACAACUCACCUGCCGAAUGAAUUAGCCCUGAAAAUGGAUGGCGCUGAAGCGGGCGGCCGACACCAUGCCGUCUGGAAAAGAAUUUCAGAUGAGUAGGAGGGCGUGGGGGUCGUGUCGAAGCAUGCGUGCAGACGCGUGUGGAACGGCCUCUAGUGCAGAUCUUGGUGGUAGUAGCAAGUAUUCAAGCGAGAUCCUUGAAGGGCGAAGCGGGGAAGGGUUCCACGCGAACAUUGAUUGGGCGUGGGUGAGUCGUUCCUAAGCCGAGUGGCGAUUGCUAAGUAGCGGCGAAAGGGAAGCGGGUUGACAUUCCCGCACACGGAUGUGGAGGCGGUGACGCAUUAUUGGGGCGAACACGCUGGCGAUGGCGCUGGGCAGAGUUGUCUUUUCUGUUUGACCGUUUUGUACGCGCGGUGUGGAAUCCGCUUGUCGGGAGAAACACGCGUGUACGGGCAGAGCGCCGGGGCUUUUCCGGCGUCCAGCUCGCCAUCGACGGCCCUUGAAACUUUGCCUGCUGAUUUAGAUCCACGCCGUGGCGUACCGAUCACCGCAUCAGGUCCCCGAGGUGAACAGCCUCUGCUCGAUAUGAAAAAUGCAGGUAAGGGAAGUCGGCAAAUUAGACCCGUAACUUUGGGAAAAGGGUUGGCUCUAGUGCUGCGUGGGAGUGGUUGUCGGACGUUGGCGUUCCUGGCUUGGCAGGCAGGCGCGGUACCCGCAAGGGCGCUGUUCCGACUGCUGAGCUGGUUGCGCCACGGCCGACGACGCCCACAGCAUGCAGCAGACUAGAACUGCAACGGGCAAAGGGAAUCCGACUGUUUAAUUAAAACAAAGCAUUGCGAGGGCCGUGGCCGGUGAUGACGCAAU